GUCAGGAUGGCCGAGUGGUCCAAGGCACCCCGUUCAGGUCACAGUUCACUCUGUGGGAGUGGGUUCGAAUCCCACCCCUGACA
This 83-nucleotide transfer RNA is filed under the name Schistosoma margrebowiei. It matches the Rfam family "tRNA". Rfam says of the family: Transfer RNA (tRNA) molecules are approximately 80 nucleotides in length. Their secondary structure includes four short double-helical elements and three loops (D, anti-codon, and T loops). Further hydrogen bonds mediate the characteristic L-shaped molecular structure. tRNAs have two regions of fundamental functional importance: the anti-codon, which is responsible for specific mRNA codon recognition, and the 3' end, to which the tRNAs corresponding amino acid is attached (by aminoacyl-tRNA synthetases). tRNAs cope with the degeneracy of the genetic code in two manners: having more than one tRNA (with a specific anti-codon) for a particular amino acid; and 'wobble' base-pairing, i.e. permitting non-standard base-pairing at the 3rd anti-codon position. The record is from Rfam by way of RNAcentral. Lineage: Eukaryota; Metazoa; Platyhelminthes; Trematoda; Strigeidida; Schistosomatidae.